UUAGAAAAUACUAAGAUCUCCAAGUUUCAUGACAGACAUUAAAAACUGUCCUAAUGUUGCAAAGUUUUCUUACAGAGGGUUUGAGUUGCUGGACCACAAAGACCAAACACAACAGGCAUGUGUCAGAGAUGCUGGCUGGAAAAAAAAACAAGAUUGAAAAAACAGGACUCUAAGACCAGGUUUUAGAAGGAAUAACCAACGUUUAUUAACACAAGAAAAGUCUUCAGAUCUUACUUGAUGGCUGGAAAAUGGAAUGCAGGAGGAUCAACAGGGGAAAGUCGAGGAGAGGACACAAGAUGAAACAGCCAGGACAGGAGUGGAACUACACACAACAGCAGUGAGCAGACAGAGACAGGCUGUAUACUGUGAGGGUUAAUCGGCAAACCAGGAACACCUGGGGAGUGGGAAACGAGGCACAGGUGGAAGAGAUGGACUAAUGAGGAGGACACGGGCUGGGGAGAAACCAUGCGGAGACACAGGAGCACCAACAGAUCUGCCUCGUCUCUUCACCUCACUGUUCCUCUGGCCUCCUCACCACUAUGGGGAACAGAGCCUUCAGCUGCUCUGCUGCCCAGACCCCGGCUCUGGAACUCACUGCCCUCUGAAAUAAGGAACUUGGACUCGCUUCCUCUUUUUAAAGCCAGUUUAAAGACUCACCUCCUUCAGGAUCGCUUACCACUGCUGAUUUUAAGUUUAAGUUUUGUAGUUUGAUUUUGUUAGUGUUUUGAAGAAGUAUUUUUAUGUGCAAACUUUAUUCAUUUUAUGGUAAAGUAGCCUGUCAUCUUGUGGUUGCCAGUGCUGUUGUGUGCAGUGAAGCAGCAUUCUGGUGCACAUUACAAGUAAUAAAUGUGUUGUGAGUCAAUUAUCUCCCCUCCUCCAUGAUGAGUGACUGUCAUGAGGAUUACCUUUUGUAAUGAGGGUUUGUCUUCUCCCCUUACAUAACAUGAUCAGCAGUAGUGGAAUGGACAAUCAUGUCAGUCCAGCCAGAUGCCCUGCUGCUUUGUUUUUUCUGGGUUUUAUUGUUUCGCAUGAGUUUUUUUUUAUUUUUUUUUUUAUUGGCCUUGUUUUUAUUUCUUUUUGGUCCGCUUUUAGUUUUACUGUUUUAUCAUGAACCUAUUUUUUAACCUAUUGUAUUCUGCUCCGUUUGAUCUGAGUUGGCUGGCCUUGACUGGAGCUGGGCCUGUUGGUGCUCGGCUGGGACUGCCUCCAUUUUCCAUCUUCUGAAUUUUUGUAGCCCUCUAGACAGCUCCAAUCAGUCUACAAACUCUAAACUGUGUGUGAACUGUGAGGGCUGUUUUGUCCCUAUUACAUGAAUCUAUUUCUAUGUCCCUUUGUGUGUUGUGGGUGACGGGCCCUUUACUGCUUGAAGAAAUUUAUAGUUAUU
Austrofundulus limnaeus is the source of this 1384-nucleotide long non-coding RNA. RefSeq lists it as uncharacterized. The transcript is spliced from 2 exons. The record is from RefSeq and is a predicted model, not a curated record. NCBI's taxonomy places the organism in Eukaryota, Metazoa, Chordata, Actinopteri, Cyprinodontiformes, Rivulidae.